GUAAGGAAUAUUGGUCAAUGGGCGGAAGCCUGAACCAGCCAUGCCGCGUGCAGGACGACGGCCCUACGGGUUGUAAACUGCUUUUGCCCGGGAAUAACCCCCCGCUCUUGAGCGGGGCUGAACGUACCGGGAGAAUAAGGAUCGGCUAACUCCGUGCCAGCAGCCGCGGUAAUACGGAGGAUCCGAGCGUUAUCCGGAUUUAUUGGGUUUAAAGGGUGCGUAGGCGGCCUGUUAAGUCAGGGGUGAAAUACGGCAGCUCAACUGUCGCAGUGCCCUUGAUACUGACGGGCUUGAAUACCGGUGAAGGCGGCGGAAUGAGACAAGUAGCGGUGAAAUGCAUAGAUAUGUCUCAGAACCCCGAUUGCGAAGGCAGCUGCCUAACCGGCGAUUGACGCUGAUGCACGAAAGCGUGGGGAUCGAACAGGAUUAGAAACCCCUGUAGUCC
RNAcentral lists this ribosomal RNA (445 nucleotides) under uncultured bacterium. RNAcentral's name for it is "partial 16S ribosomal RNA". It matches the Rfam family "Bacterial small subunit ribosomal RNA", at positions 354 to 796 of the family's 1533-position model. The record is from RNAcentral.